This 114-nucleotide non-coding RNA is filed under the name bovine gut metagenome. RNAcentral's name for it is "FMN riboswitch (RFN element)". It matches the Rfam family "FMN riboswitch aptamer (RFN element)". Rfam says of the family: The RFN element is a highly conserved domain that is found frequently in the 5'-untranslated regions of prokaryotic mRNAs that encode for flavin mononucleotide (FMN) biosynthesis and transport proteins. The record is from RNAcentral.
AGUCUUCAGGGCGGGGUGCAAUUCCCCACUGGCGGUAUAGUCCGCGAACUGCCUCAUGGCAGCCGAACCGGUGAAACUCCGGUACCAACGGUAUAGUCCGGAUGGAAGAAGAUG